CACUCGCCGGGCUGCCAGAAUUAAGCAACGCCAAAUUAAGGAGCUAAGAUAACCGUGUUGGGCUUAGAACUGUGCCUUUGGAUUAAUAUCAGGUCCUGCUGGGAACGGCGGGUCCGCCCGGGAGGCGUGAUGUGCGCGCAAAGGCGCGGAGUCCAGGGCGGGAGCCCGCGCUCGCCGAGGGGCCGCAGUCCGCGCCCGAAGGACGCUCUCUCUGGGAACCACCUUUGGCAGGCUCUUCUGUGUUUUGACAAACCAUCCAUCCAUGUCAGGUAUGGUCUCUUGCAGCAGGAUCCUGAUCCCUUUUGGAUUACAGCCCUCUGCCCUUUUACGGCUUUAAAAAACUUGGAAUUUGUCCCUUCCUUGGUUCCUGCCAGAAAUGCUGCAUGCUAGGGACUCUUGUCUGGACCCUCUAUGGGUCUCUUACUUUACGACUCAGUCUUUUGUCCCACGUGGCAUAUUGUUGGUCCCUCCAGAAAUAUGGAGGUGCUUGCACUGUAAUCUGCAGAAAUUCCUUAAAAUUGUUGACAGUGAUUGGCACCAUUCCCCAGUGUCCAGUGAGAAAGUGGAUUUUCCUUAUAACAGUUGAUUUUCUUUGAUAAUUUUAGUAGAAAUUUUGUUGCAAGAGGGGAAGUUAAACAGAAGGCUUUAAUAUCCCCUUCUUUGUUUUUGUUUUUGUUUUUUGUUUUGUUUUUUAAAGAUUUUAUUUAUUUAUUUGACAGAGAGAGAGAGUCAGCGAGAGAGGGAACACAAGCAGGGGGAGUGGGAGAGGAAGAAGCAGGCUCCCAGCAGAGGAGCCUGAUGCGGGGCUCGAUCCCAGAACACUGGGAUCACGCCCUGAGCCAAAGGCAGAUGCUUAAUGACUGAGCCACCCAGGCGCCCCUAAUAUCCCCUUUUUUGAUCAGAAUCCAUUCAUUAUCCUUCUUAAGGUGUCAUAGAUGGUAACUUGGCAUAUCCCUCUACAACUAGACUGCAUCCAAAGUUGAGAUAUUAAUAUGCAUAAGACUUUUAAAAGAAUGGGAGUCACUUUUUCCAGGAACCUCCAGAAGAAACAUACUGUGCUUAGAGAAGUGGGCGUGUAGGAUCAUAAACCCACUUGACUAACCUUAAGGGAAGGGGAUGUACAUAAACUGAAACUAGAACUGGAAAACUACUUGUACCACAGGUAUUUGCUCUCUCAGUCUCUCUCAUGGGCCACAUGGUUUCUCAUAAUGAUGUUGCUGCUCCUGUUUGUGUCUGAGCCAGUCACCUGGCUGUCUGUCAGCUGGCCUCCCCUAAUUUCAGUGUAUCCAUAGUCCCAAGGGGACAUCCUGGCCCCAGGUCUGCCUUGAGAUUUCUCUGCUCAUCUCUAGCAACUAGUAUCUUGUUCUUUUCAAAUUCCCCAAAAAACAAUCUGGUUAGCUCAGCUCAGUUUUGCUAGCAGGCUUUUUAAGCGUAAGUCACAGGUCACGGACAGGCUGCCCUCAAGCCCAAGUCCACCUCAGUUCAUGUCAUCUGAGGUGUAGAGCGGUGUGAGAAGCACGUGGGAGAGAAUAGGCCUGUUUAGAGCAGAGGGGCUGUAGCUCUUGCUGGGCUUGUCUGCCGUUGGCUCUAACCCGGGUUGUGUCUCAGACUAUUCCACGUUCACUGACUCCCUUAGCCAACAACAACAAAUGACAAUCUCCUUAGCCAAGCACUCAAGGUUUCACACUCUUAACUGUGUCCACCUGGCCAGCCAUGCCUCCCACUCUCACUCUCUUUGCUGACCUGACUGACAUAUUUACUUGGUCCCAAAUCCCACCAUACAAAUUCCUGCCUCUGGGCCUCUGCUCAUGCUGUGCUUACCUUGCCUCCCCUGCACUCCUACCAUCCUCCAAAGAGCAGCUGAAGCGACUCUUUCUUUAUACCAAUGACAGCUAAUACUUAUUUGGCAUCAGCCAUGAACUAGGUAUUCUCCUAGAUACUUUACGUAUAUAAUCUCAUUUAAUUCUUUCUCCAUAUCUUCCAGAGCAGGUAUUAUUACUGUCAUUCUACAGGCAGGCAAGAGGAGGCUUGGAGAAGUUAACCGACCCAGUUCACCCAGGGAGUAAAUGUCAAAGUUGGGAUUCUGAACCCAGGGCUGUCUGAUUUCAAAGUCUAUACUUCUUCUGAAACCAUGCUUGGUUGUAAAGAAUUUCCUGAUGACUUGAACCCAUGGUUUUCUCGCCCUCCUUUGCAUAUUACCUGAUGUCUAUUCUGAAUUAGUGAUUUGACACUUAACAGAUGAUUACUUAUUCUACUGAUUGCCUUUUGGGGUGUGAACUUCCCCCCUCGACUGAACUCUAAGCUAGUGGUUUUCAAUGGGUGCAGCUCUGUCCCUGGGAGGCAUUUGGGAAAUGUAUGCACGUGGGGACUGAAUAUCGCAUUGAUUGAAGGGGAUCACUGUGAUUCACUGUGCAGAGGCAGUGCAUAGGACAGUCCCGGGCAACGAACAAUGAUCCCAUAACCCACAAGACUCUUCUAUGUGCCGUUAGACACCCAAAGUUAAAAACUUGUUCAUAAUUAUCCAUAAGGUUCAAGCCUAACUCUGCUUUAAAUAGAGACAUCAAGUAACCUCUGCACAGUUUUAACAUGUGGAAAAUUUUCCAGGAGUGCAAUGACCAUUGUUUAAGAGGGGAAAAAAAAGGAAUGAUUAUACUUUGUUUAGCUUGGUCUUUGGCCAAGAAUUUUUCUCCAUUUCAGAAAAUUACAUCUACUGAUAACAACACUGCUGAUGGUAUUUGAGUCUCCAACGAAAUACAGACAUUACGUGACAGCCAGCUUUUAUACCAAUUACAUUUACGAUGGUUCUAUAUGUAGAUGAAAACUUCUGACCUCUCUUAAGCCAGUAGCGUAACCUAACUCUAGUAUUCAUGUGUUAAAAUACAUGUUGUUUUAUUACAAAUUAUUUUCUUUUUAUUUCUUCUUU
This 2923-nucleotide long non-coding RNA is filed under the name Ursus thibetanus thibetanus. Its description in RNAcentral is "lncRNA (ENSUTTG00000001288.1)". The record is from RNAcentral. Lineage: Eukaryota; Metazoa; Chordata; Mammalia; Carnivora; Ursidae.